AAAGAAAAGACGAUAUUCUUGACUUCAUAGAAAAUCAACUGAAGAAUCAUCAUCCGAGAAAUGAUUACAAGGAGUUUUUGGAGCUGAGCUGUAUCUUUUUGGGUGGUAUCAAAAGUCAUAGAGCCGAAUUUAAAGCACCUGGUGCUUUUCAUCACGCACGGUGGUAAUCGAAAGCUCUCUAUUGCUUGAAAAUAUAUAUGUUUAGAAACCAGUUUAAAAUGGGAGCAAACGAAAAAAAAAUUUUGCAGAAAAUAUGUGUUUUCAUCGUAAUAUUUUAUGUAAAAAUAUGGUUUACUGCUCCUAAUGCAAUAAAUGCUCCAAACUCGGAUUUGCAAUUAGUAAAAGAUCUUAUUGACUACAGAAAAAUACAUCCAGAAAUUGCAAAUGCAGCACUCGAUAAAUUGUCUCGGCAUUUGUGGUAAUUACACGAAAAUCUUGCUUGUUUGGCUCUUUUUGAUGAAACUGUGUCAGUAGAAGAAAAAGUAAAGAUCGUACAAAAAAUAAAUUCCCAGGUAGCGGUCAAAAAGCCUAAUAAACGUUUAUCAGUCGCUUAUGAAGAAAUAACGUCGUUAUCUGAGAAAAACAUAAGCGAUUUUGUUAAUCCAAACUCGUUGUUUAUUUUUGAGCAAUUUGAGCUCCCCUAUGAAUUUUUGCAUACAGAUCCAAGUUUGUGGGAAUCAAAUCUUGAGUAUAAACGAUGUUAUGAUACAUUCAAAAAGUUAAAAGUAGUAAACGAUACUGCGGAAAGAGAAGUAGCGCUAGCCGAAAGUUUUAAUGAAGUAUUGACUUAUAACGAAGAUGAAAGACAAAGAAUUUUUCAAACUGUUCAGCACCAUCGAUCUCAAUACACAUCGUGUAAAAAAUCACAAUAUAUUGACAAUGAAUUAAUCUAACAAUUCAUUUUUCUGCUUUCAAUAAUAAUUAAUUGGUAUUGUUGUUUUUA
Molecule: unclassified non-coding RNA, 943 nt
Filed under: Cotesia glomerata
Lineage: Eukaryota; Metazoa; Arthropoda; Insecta; Hymenoptera; Braconidae
Description: uncharacterized LOC123272386, transcript variant X2
Source: RNAcentral